CCUACGGGGGGCAGCAGUAGGGAAUCUUCCGCAAUGGGCGAAAGCCUGACGGAGCAACGCCGCGUGAGUGAAGAAGGAUUUCGGUUCGUAAAGCUCUGUUGUUAGGGAAGAAUGGAUAUGUAGUAACUAUACAUAUAAGAGACGGUACCUAACCAGAAAGCCACGGCUAACUACGUGCCAGCAGCCGCGGUAAUACGUAGGUGGCAAGCGUUGUCCGGAAUUAUUGGGCGUAAAGCGCGCGCAGGUGGUUUAAUAAGUCUGAUGUGAAAGCCCACGGCUCAACCGUGGAGGGUCAUUGGAAACUGUUAAACUUGAGUGCAGGAGAGAAAAGUGGAAUUCCUAGUGUAGCGGUGAAAUGCGUAGAGAUUAGGAGGAACACCAGUGGCGAAGGCGGCUUUUUGGCCUGUAACUGACACUGAGGCGCGAAAGCGUGGGGAGCAAACAGGAUUAGAUACCCGGGUAGUC
RNAcentral lists this ribosomal RNA (465 nucleotides) under uncultured Staphylococcaceae bacterium. RNAcentral describes it as "bacterial SSU rRNA". It matches the Rfam family "Bacterial small subunit ribosomal RNA", at positions 338 to 795 of the family's 1533-position model. Lineage: Bacteria; Bacillati; Bacillota; Bacilli; Caryophanales; Staphylococcaceae. The record is from RNAcentral.